AAAGGCUGUGUGAAGUGGAAGCUCAAGAAAUAUCGGAGGAGGUGUCUGGCACAAUGGUGCAUGCCUAUAAUACCAGCACUUUGGGAGGCUGAGGCAGGAGGAUCACUUGGAUCAGGAGGUCAGGAGUUGGAGACCAGCCUGGGCAACAUGACUGGGAAGCGUCACUGAGGUCCUUCAAGGAGCAAGCGAGGCCAGGCACAGAUUCCAGGGACACCGC
This 217-nucleotide long non-coding RNA is filed under the name Homo sapiens (human). RNAcentral's name for it is "non-protein coding lnc-KNTC1-3:2". Lineage: Eukaryota; Metazoa; Chordata; Mammalia; Primates; Hominidae. The record is from RNAcentral.